UGAUAAUUAGUUUAACAAAAAUAAAUGGUUUCGACCCAUUAGAUUGUGAUUCUAUUUCAUAAUUAUCAA
Molecule: transfer RNA, 69 nt
Filed under: Hylomys suillus (short-tailed gymnure)
Lineage: Eukaryota; Metazoa; Chordata; Mammalia; Eulipotyphla; Erinaceidae
Also listed under: 2 other names
Description: transfer RNA-Arg
Rfam family: tRNA
About the family: Transfer RNA (tRNA) molecules are approximately 80 nucleotides in length. Their secondary structure includes four short double-helical elements and three loops (D, anti-codon, and T loops).
Source: RNAcentral